AUGCACUGCAGGUGGCAUAUUAUUAAGAAGGCUGAGGAGACGCUAGGACCAUUCUUUACUGACCGUCCAGAGUUGCAAAAGGCAUUCAAGUUGUGUCUGGACCACAACUUGACGGUGGAGGAGUUUGAACGGAGCUGGACGGCUAUGAUUGAAACAUAUCAAGUCCAAGACAACGAGACACUCGCUAGCCUGUGGGAGAAGCGAAUGUACUGGGUGUCGGCCUACUUCAUGUAGUGCUUCUUCCCAUUUCUGCAGAUUAUGUAGCGCAGCGAGGGGUUCAAUGCUGUUUUGAAGCGGUACGUGAGCCCUGGCAACUCAUUGCCGCAGUUUGCCAAGCAAUACACCGCUUUGCAACAGAAAAUACUGGGAUCUGAGCUACAGCAAGAAGCAAACACCGCGCUCAAGCAGCCUAAAUUGUUAACAUAUUUACCGAUGGAAAGGCAGAUGAGCAAGAUAUAUACCAACAAGAUUUUUAACAAGUGA
RNAcentral lists this ribosomal RNA (483 nucleotides) under Triticum aestivum (bread wheat). RNAcentral's name for it is "partial small subunit ribosomal RNA". Lineage: Eukaryota; Viridiplantae; Streptophyta; Magnoliopsida; Poales; Poaceae. The record is from RNAcentral.